AUAUAUAUAUAUAUACUAGUUUAGGGACCCGCGCGAUGCUGCGGGUAGUUAUAUUAAAAUUUAAUUUUAAAAAUUAGUUAUAAAAAUCAAUUUCAGAUUAAUUAUGAAAUAUUACGGAGAAAUUACAAAAUAAUUUUAAAUAAAUGCAGCUAUCUUCUCUAAUAUAGAAAAUAUAAGAAGCUCUCUCAAUAAUAAGAUAUUUUGAAAUAGUUCUUCAACUUUAUUAAAUAUUUUCUCAUCUUGUUCUCUUUAAUUUGAUUUGAUAUUACUAAUUUUGUAAGGUUAUCUAUAAUAUUUCUAAUAUUUUCAGAGAUACGAAUGAAAUUAUCACAUACUAAUUAUUUCAAACAUGACCGCAUGUCUGAGGGAUUGAAAAAUAAUAAAUGGUGCAAUAAAUACAUCAAAAAAUUUUAGUAGGCAUGGUAAUCCCCCAUUAGUUAGUGAAAUAAUUUUUAGUAGGUAUCGUAAUCCUCCAGUAGUUAGUGAAUGAGAAGAUAAAUCAUUGCUUAUGAUUCUCGCAAUUAACUUUCGUCAAAUAUAAAAUUAACUUAAGCUGCAUCAAUCUUUUGUUUUAUUGUUUAAUGUACAAUUUAUAUGUGAAUGCUCAAUAUUAUAAAAUUAACAUUUAUAUCAAAUACCAAUAGUCUAAAUUAUUUAAUAUUUAUUUAUAUAUUUUAUAUUUUAUAAAAAUAAAUAGUAAAUUAUAUAAUAAACUAUUAUAUAAUAAUAUAUCUAUAUAAAAAUAAAAUACUAUAUAUAAUAAAUAUAUAUAUAUUUAUAAAUAAAAUUAUAUGUAGUGUUCCGGAGGUUUGGAUAGGAUUGGCUACAUUAUGUGUUUGGUCGACACAUCUGGAGAGUGUCGGACUUAGUCGGAGUCAUUUCUGCGCGAAAUGGAUGCAGAAAUAAACUUGGCGCACUCAAUCAAGCAAAACUGGAGUUUUGCCAGAUUCGGGUGCCCAGAACUGGAUUU
RNAcentral lists this long non-coding RNA (970 nucleotides) under Ananas comosus (pineapple). RNAcentral's name for it is "long non-coding RNA (ACOM_LNC014588)". The record is from RNAcentral. Lineage: Eukaryota; Viridiplantae; Streptophyta; Magnoliopsida; Poales; Bromeliaceae.